GGACAGGUGUAUAGUUAGACAGGUGGACAGGUGUAUAGUUAGACAGGUGUACAGGUGUAUAGUUAGACAGGUGUACAGGUGUAUAGUUAGACAGGUGGACAGGUGUAUAGUUAGACAGGUGGACAGGUGUAUAGUUAUACAGAUGGACAAGUGUACAGGUGUAUAGUUGGACAGAUGGACAGAUAUACUGUAUAAUUAGACAGGUGUAUAGUUAGACAGGUGGACAUGUGUAUAGUUAGACAGGUGUACAGGUGUAUAGUUAGACAGGUGUACAGGUGUAUAGUUAGACAGGUGGACAUGUGUAUAGUUAGACAGGUGUACAGGUGUAUAGUUAGACAGGUGUACAGGUGUAUAGUUAGACAGGUGGACAGGUGUAUAGUUAGACAGGUGUACAGGUGUAUAGUUAGACAGGUGGACAGGUGUAUAGUUAUACAGAUGGACAAGUGUACAGGUGUAUAGUUAGACAGGUGGACAGGUGUAUAGUUAUACAGAUGGACAAGUGUACAGGUGUAUAGUUAGACAGGUGGACAGGUGUAUAGUUGGACAGAUGGACAGAUAUAUAAUUAGACAGUUGUACAGGUGUAUAGUUGGACAGGUAUAUAGUUGGACAGGUGUACAGGUGUGUACAGGUGUAUAGUUGGACAGAUGGACAGAUAUAUAAUUAGACAGUUGUACAGGUGUAUAGUUGGACAGGUGUAUAGUUGGACAGAUGGACAGGUAUAUAAUUAGACAGUUGUACAGGUGUAUAGUUGGACAGGUGUAUAGUUGGAGAGGUGUACAGGUGUGUACAGGUGUAUAGUUGGACAGAUGGACAGGUAUAUAAUUAGACUGUUGUACAGGUGUAUAGUUGGACAGGUGGACAGGUGUAUAGUUAUACAGAUGGACAAGUGUACAGGUGUAUAGUUGGACAGAUGGACA
Austrofundulus limnaeus is the source of this 918-nucleotide long non-coding RNA. RefSeq lists it as uncharacterized. The transcript has 4 exons. Lineage: Eukaryota; Metazoa; Chordata; Actinopteri; Cyprinodontiformes; Rivulidae. The record is from RefSeq and is a predicted model, not a curated record.